UACGGAGGGCGCAAGCGUUGUUCGGAAUUACUGGGCGUAAAGCGCGUGUAGGCGGCCAGGUAAGUCGGAUGUGAAAUCCCGGGGCCCAACCCCGGAACUGCACCCGAUACUGCCCGGCUGGAGUCCCGGAGAGGAUGGCGGAAUUUCCGGUGUAGAGGUGAAAUUUGUAGAUAUCGGAAGGAACACCAGUGGCGAAGGCGGCCAUCUGGACGGUGACUGACGCUGAGACGCGAAAGCGUGGGGAGCAAACAGG
This 253-nucleotide ribosomal RNA is filed under the name uncultured bacterium. Its description in RNAcentral is "partial 16S ribosomal RNA". It matches the Rfam family "Bacterial small subunit ribosomal RNA", at positions 524 to 776 of the family's 1533-position model. The record is from RNAcentral.